GAUGAAGAACGUAGCGAAAUGCGAUAAGUAGUGUGAAUUGCAGAAUUCAGUGAAUCAUCGAAUCUUUGAACGCACAUUGCGCCCUUUGGUAUUCCUUAGGGCAUGCCUAUUCGAGCGUCAUUUAAACCUUCAAGCUAAGCUUGGUGUUGGGUGACUGUCCGCUUCACGGCGGACUCGCCUCAAAAUUAUUGGCGGCCGGUACAUUGGCUUCGAGCGCAGCAGAAACGCGAACUCGGGCCCGUCGUAUUGGCUCCCAGAAGCUAUCUUCACAAUUUUGACCUCGGAUCAGGUAGGGAUACCCGCUGAACUUAAGCAUAUCAAUAAGCGGAGGA
RNAcentral lists this unclassified non-coding RNA (332 nucleotides) under soil metagenome. RNAcentral describes it as "partial contains 5.8S ribosomal RNA, internal transcribed spacer 2, and large subunit ribosomal RNA". The stretch from base 1 to 120 matches the Rfam family "5.8S ribosomal RNA", at positions 35 to 154 of the family's 154-position model. The record is from RNAcentral.